RNAcentral lists this ribosomal RNA (407 nucleotides) under uncultured bacterium. RNAcentral's name for it is "partial 16S ribosomal RNA". It matches the Rfam family "Bacterial small subunit ribosomal RNA", at positions 30 to 526 of the family's 1533-position model. The record is from RNAcentral.
AUUGAACGCUGGCGGCAGGCCUAACACAUGCAAGUCGAGCGGAGCGGCGGUGGGGUGAGUAAUGCCUAGGAUUCUGCCUGGUAGUGGGGGAUAACGUCUGGAAACGGGCGCUAAUACCGAAUAUUAUCAGUUGAGCUUAGGUCGGAGUAGCUAGUUGGUGGGGUAAAGGCCUACUAAGGCGACGACCCGUAUCUGGACUGUGAGGAUGAUCAGGCAGCCUGGAACUGAGACACGUUCCAGACUCCUACGGGAGGCAGCAGUGGGGAAUUUUGGACAAUGGGCGAAAGCCUGAUCCAGCCAUGCCGCUGGUGUGAAGAAGGUCUUCGGAUUGUAAAGCACUUUAAGUUGGGAGGCGUUACCAACAGAAUAAGCACCGGCUAACUACGUGCCAGCAGCCGCGGUAAUAC